GACGAACGCUGGCGGCAGGCCUAACACAUGCAAGUCGAACGCCCUAGCAAUAGGGAGUGGCAGACGGGUGAGUAACACGUGGGAACCUUCCCUAUAGUACGGAAUAGCUCAGGGAAACUUGGAGUAAUACCGUAUACGCCCGAGAGGGGAAAGAUUUAUCGCUAUAGGAUGGGCCCGCGUCGGAUUAGCUAGUUGGUGAGGUAAUGGCUCACCAAGGCGACGAUCCGUAGCUGGUUUGAGAGAACGACCAGCCACACUGGGACUGAGACACGGCCCAGACUCCUACGGGAGGCAGCAGUGGGGAAUAUUGGACAAUGGGCGCAAGCCUGAUCCAGCCAUGCCGCGUGAGUGAUGAAGGCCUUAGGGUUGUAAAGCUCUUUUAGUCAGGGAAGAUAAUGACUGUACCUGCAGAAUAAGACUCCGGCUAACUUCGUGCCAGCAGCCGCGGUAAU
This 452-nucleotide ribosomal RNA is filed under the name uncultured bacterium. RNAcentral describes it as "bacterial SSU rRNA". It matches the Rfam family "Bacterial small subunit ribosomal RNA", at positions 28 to 524 of the family's 1533-position model. The record is from RNAcentral.